GUUCAGUUAGCCUGGCGCGUCUCGUUGAGUAGGAUGCGGUCUGUUGUUAAGGGUACCGGUUGGUGAAAAUAUUACGAUAAAAUUCCGAGUUUGCUUUUUCCUAAAUGCUUGAGUUACAUCUGAUAAUAUUGAUAAGAUAUCUUGCGUAGACUGUUUGAGGUUAUAUGGGAGGUUAAUUCGUAAGUUAAAUUUACACGUUUCACGUAAAGAAAAAAUUAAAAGUUAUCUGGCUGACAGUAAACAGCAAUUUUAGUUUUUGAUUGAACAUUGAUUAUUUUAUUAAAACUUGAGACACUGUUUCAAAGCUUGGUUCGAUGUGUAGUAAGGAAUAAUUUUGUUUGAUUCCUGAGGACAGAAGGAUCAAUUAGAAAAUUUGCUGUCCAAAAUAACCCUAAUCAUGAAUAGGCUUAGAACUAUAAUAGUGUUUCUGCUGUGUUUAUAUUUUAAUGGACUUAAUCCAGAAGAAAGUGUUGACAACGGAAGUUUGGUCACACCAUCUUUCUCCCUUGACAGUCAAAUAAAAGGAUUUAAUAGUACAAAUCUAACAUCUGGAAUAAUAGUUUUAGUGGAUGAAAGAACUCUGUUUAUUGCAGAUAUUUAUCAGAAAAAUGUUCGAAGUAUUAAUCUAGAAUUUUGGGCAGGUGCAGGUGAUAGUCCAGAGAACGAUAGCAGCAAAAAACUCGUAGCAAAUAAAACGGAUUUGGCUGUGUCGUCUAAUAUUUAUAUCACUCUACCGACAGAUCUGAGCUUAGAUGUCAUCAAUUAUUUAGAAGUAUCUUUGAACAAUCAGUCAUUGGCAUAUGUAAAUUUGAGUGAAAUUAAUAGGACCGCAAUACCAACUUAUAAUCAGCAUAACCAGAAAGAUACAAUUUACAGAUUACCAAAAUGUUGCCCACCGGACCAAUAUAUCAAUUUUUCAACGGAAGGUUGCGUUCAGGCCGUAAGAGAAGUGCAGCUCAAUAUAACCCUCUUUGAGAGCAACCAUACCGGUCUAGAUCCAAACGUUACAGUUAAUCCUUCUGAAUAUCAAUUGGCGCCUUAUUACCAAAUGCCCAAUUGUUCACGAUUAGGAGAAUUUUACAGACUAGUAGAAACCAUAGAUAUACAAGGAAUCAUUUAUAACUCUUCACUAAUUAUUGAACACUUUGGCAUACUAUCUCAUCAGAAUUUUUGCAUUGAUGUUGUUAUAGACGACUAUCCCAGAGACCUGAUCUGUCAUUGUCACUAUAUACCUUUGGUUAAUCCUGAUCCAAAUUUUUAUUUACCAGUGUUGAGUUUGUCGGUGGUUGGUUUUGCAUUAUCAGCUAUAGCUUAUGGAUUAGUUUUAAAGGCUAAAGAUUUACACAAAAUUUCUUUGGCUAUUUUCUGCUCUUCCAUGUGUAUUGCUUUUAUAUCCUUGAUAAUAAUGCAAAUUCAAAGCAAUCAUGUAGCCUGUAAUAUAUUUGGAUCUGUGUUUUUAUUAACGUUAGUAAUGUCCUUUCUGUGGCUGCUAAUUUUGUGCCUAGAACUACUAUACUUGGUGAAAUAUCCUAUUGAAGAAGAACGCCAGGAGACUAGAUGGCAAUGGUACACAGGAUUGUCUGUGGGAAUUUCAAUUUUUCUGUUUAUAAUUUCGCUAGUUUCUGGAAGUUUAGGAGUCCCAGAUGUACCAAGCAAUAUAAUUAAAUACUAUGGAAUAUAUCCAGAUGUUUGUAUGUUUGAUACCUCAGCCGACAGAGCAUAUAUUGUAUUCACACCAAUAAUUAUUUCAAUAGUUGGGUCAAUAAUAAGCCUUAUUGUGUUGCAGAUAUUCUUUAAUAAAAAUGAAAAUAACGGACACAUAAGAAAUCACGUAGACUGGAUGUUUAACUUUAAUAGUUACAAAUUUCUGUAUGUGGAAUCCAAUAUUGUACUCCUCGGUGAAAAUAUUCUCAAAUACUUUUUCGUCGACGACAUUUUUUCUUUACGAAAGAUGAUCCAUCUUUGAAGUAAAUUGGAUAAGUUUUUGAACUCCUGCGGCAAAUAUACACGAUUUGAAUCUUUUCGAGAAUAGUGGAAUGGAAUGGCUGGAAGGGAUUUAACAAGGUAUUUCUGACGUUGUGGCUAAAUUAACUAAUAUUUUAAUUAUAUUCUUAAAACCAUAACAUUUUUAUUCCAGUGCCAUUCAUUUUUAUCUGAAAUGGAACCGUUUAUUAAAAAUUUUAAAAAAAAUUAUUUAAAGCAGGUUUUAUCCAACAUUUUGCAUAGUCGUAAUUGUAAUCAGUAUUACAGUACCACUUUGAUAUGUAAAUCGGUUAUGCUUAUGACAUGUUUAACUUUUAUGAUUAAAACUGUGAUUAUGACUAAGACUAAAUAUUUUUUGUAUGAAUCCGGACUUCUAAAACGAUUUUCCACUUAGAAUAACAAAAUAAUAAGGCACAUUUGGCUUUCUUUUUUUUUAAAUUAGGUAUUGGAAUUUUUAAUCUAAUGACAAGUCUUUAUAUUUUAAAGGGACCCGAUAAUAACCGGAAAAGUGUAUGAAAUUUUUGUAAAUUUUAAAUGGUAUAUUGCACUGUUUCUCGCACAAUGCCUAAAUGUGGGUUCCAGGGUUAUGAUUAUUAGCCUUUAUUAGGGCACGCAAAGAAAACGCAGCUUUAUAUCGUUAAACCCAGCUUUAGUAUUGAAAGAUAAAUCAAUGUCAUAAUUGACAACUAAUUUAAUCUAUAACCUCAAUUCAAAAAAAAAAUAAAUACAAAGACAGUAAUGCUCUAAUACUUAAGUUAUAAUUAUGAAAUUUAAAAUCAUGAGAAAGAAAAUAAAGUAAAAUUUAGCACUUAAUACUUAUUCAAUUGUACAUCUGAUAAUACCUCGCAUAUACGUAUAUACUCAGUUCCCAAUUUCAAAUCAAAUCAGUGAUGGUGGUUAUAUAAACAAUUUUACUAAAUUGAAUUUAAAAUCUGUGAUCAUUUCUACAUAUUAAUUAAAAAAAAAAAAUAAUCUAUAAAUUGCGACGAACCGAUAAAUCAAUACCUGGAGAAACCAAGCCAAAAAGAAAAAGGGACUACCUGAAAUUCUGAGUAUCUCCGACUGGUAGCAGGGCCCACCUGAUCUGAAUGGGGCUCCUUUGUUGGCAACUAUACGUUUGGGUCAAAAGAGGCAGCAGCAGAUCGACCAGUUAGGAUGCUUCCAGAAUGUCUAGCAGGUAGUGGAGGGCAAUCGGUAUUAGGUGUAGCCGAUUGGAAGGAAUGCAGGUUCCGGAGGUGAUGAUCCAAGCGACUUGAUGUGGUAACACGUGGAGUAGCAAGUGAGGUGGAAGCAGUAACAAUAAAAAUGCAGCAAAAGCAGAAGCAGAGGAUAAGCAGAAAGGUACAGGAAGGCCUAAAAAUGGGGACCACACAUGAGGUUCGACAUGGCUGUCAAUUUUAUGGCAUUUUUGUGUGGAUCGGGUAUGUUAGGAGGGACCAUCUUAACGGUAUCAUAUCUGUGUAGUAUGUAUAUUUAUGUAUGAUUUUUAAAUAAAUUAUUUUAUGAAACUAUGGUUGCGAUUUACUUUAUCUUGGUAAAAAAAUUAAUAAAUCAAUUAAUAUAUCUGUUGGAGAUUAAACCUGUAACACACCCCUCCUUCCUGAAAAGGAAGUUUACCUGAAACUUGCAAUGGAAAUUCAAUCCCUAAUAAAGAAAAACUAAUCUAACUAAAUAACUAAUAAAAGAAAUCCUAACUUGAAAAUACUUAAUAUAAUACAACAUUAUAAGAGCCCUCAAAAUAACUACAAAGAAACGAAUCUAUUAUAAUAAUUAAUUUACGCUGACUUAUAACUUAGAUACUAACAUUAGAUUUGAUCUUGAACGUUAUUAUCAGGUGGAUGUGCCUUUAAAUCUUUAGCAUGCCAAACUCCACGACAACGGCCUGUCAAGUCCGAAAUUUCGUAGGACCAUGGAGAGAGAAUUUUGCUGAUCUUGUAGGGCCCAAGAUAUUUAGGCGCGAACUUUGAAGUAAAGUUUUUGGCAGCAUUAGAGAUAACAUAAUUUCUCUGCCAUACCUCCUGACCAAGUUGAAAGCGCUCAUCGCGAUGCCGUAAGUUAUAACGCCUACUACGUUGCUCGCAAGCCCUUUUUAGUCUUUUCUGAACAUCGACAAAUACCUUUUCCAAUGUUUUCGAUCGCAAAGUUGGAUCGGAAUCAUUAGGGUUAGAUGGAGAAAUUAAAGUCGGGGUGGGACACAGAAAUCGAAGUUCUCUACCAAAAAUUACAAAGUUUGGGGUUAGACCCGUAACUUCGUGUCUUGCUGAUCGGAUUGCACAACCUGCCUUAGCCAAAAUUAGAUCCCACGUCCUAUGAUCCUCAUCAACAUAGCUUGAGAUGAUGGUUUUUAGAACACGGUGGACACGCUCUACAGGGUUAGCCUGCGGGUGGUAAUUAGCAGUAUAACGUAUUUGGAUACCAUACUCUUGCAUUUUAUUUUGGAAAGCCCCACUACGAAACUGAGGUCCAUUGUCGGCAAUGAUUCUAUCAGGGAUUCCGUAAACCAAAAGUACAUGGUCCUCGAGCCAUUUUAAUAUACUGCUGGCGGUAGCCACUCGUAAAGGAAAGAAGAGAGGAUACUUACUGAACAAAUCAUAUACUGACAAUACGAAGGAAUAUCCAGAACGAGAACGAGGCAAGGGACCCACAAGGUCUACACUGAGGAUUUGCCAAGGUCUAGUCAGGGUUGGUUGUGGACUAAGAAGGUGGCCAGAAGAGACUUUUUGAAGAGGUUUAGUCCUUAAGCAAGUGUGACAUCGGGCAAUAUACCUAGCUACGUCACACUUCAUAUUUGGCCAGUAAUAUUUCUGUGAAAUACGGGAAAGAGUCUUAAACACUCCAAGAUGACCACAGGUGGGAGGAUCGUGAUGUGCCUUUAUGACAUCAGAUCGUUGAUUUCGUGGUACAAUCUGCAACCAAGCAUCGUCAGGAUUAUCUAAAGCGGGGUAUUUUGACUUAGUACGCUUAUAGAGCUUAUUAUUAGAAAUCCACCAUAGUGGGUACUUAGAUGGUUGCUCUUUAACGCGUUUUAGCAUGCGGGAAUACCACUUGUCGAUCAGGAAAGAAGAAUCGUUCGUUGACAUGUCAUUCAGAGGUGCUACCUCAUCUACCACUGGUACCGAACGAGAUAAUGCAUCGGGGACGAUGUUGUCUUUACCCUUACGAUGAACUAUGUCAAAAUCGUACUGUUGUAGCCUUACAGCCCAUCGAGCAAUGCGACCAACAGGAUCUUUGAUUGAAUUAAGCCACUUCAGACUAUAGUGGUCAGUUACCACUGUAAAAUGGCUACCUUCCACAUAUGGUCUGAGUUUUUCGAUGGCGAAAAUGACAGCCAAACAUUCCCUUUCUGUUGUGCUAUACCGACGCUCGUUUUUGGUAAGAGACCUACUUAGGAAACAAAUAGCGUGCUCUUCGUCACCUUGAACCUGAUAAAGGACAGCUCCAAGUCCAAAAUUGGAAGCGUCACAUUGGAUAAUAAAAGGAAGAUCAAAAUCUGGACAUGAUAAAACCGGUGCGCUGACCAGUUUCUCUUUAAUAGUAUUAAAAGCAUUUUCACAUUCAGGACUCCAUACAAACUUUACGUUCUUCAUGGUCAAUGCGGUCAAGGGAGAUACUAUCGUGGAAAAAUUAGGGACAAACCUCCGAUACCAAGAUGCGAGUCCAACAAUUCUUCUAAUAUCAGUAACAGUCUUGGGGGUUGGUAUACGCAGAAUAGCCUCAAUCUUAUCGGGGUCCACUAGUAGACCGGAAGAAUUAACAAUGUACCCCAAAUAUUUUAACUCGGGUUUACAAAAGGUACACUUCUCUCUGUUAAGAGUUAGACCUGCCUUAACGAUCCUCUGUAUGACCUCACGUAAAACACGAAUAUGUUCCUCGAACGACGGGGUGGAAAUGAUUACGUCGUCAAGAUAGACGAAGACGUAUGGCUCCAAGUCAACACCAAUAACAGAAUCGAUCAGUCUUUGCCACACUGCAGGGGCAUUAGUCAACCCAAAGGGCAUACGGGUAAAUUGGAAAAGUCCUCUAGUAGGGACUGUAAAUGCAGUAAGAGGGCGAGAUUCUGGUGCAAUAGGUAUUUGCCAAUACGCGGACUUAAUAUCCAACGUACUAAGGAACUUGGCAUCUCUUAAUUUAUCUAAAGUGGCAGAAACAAAAGGUAUGGGAUAACUGUCUUUGAUGGUCACACGAUUUAAAGCGCGAUAAUCGACACAAAAACGCCAUUCGCCAGUUUUUUUCUUAACCAUUACUAUUGGAGAUGACCAGGGUGAAAUAGAUGGUUCUACAAUACCAUUGGCAAUCAUUUGUUCCAAUUCAGUAUUGACAUCCUUUUGAAGGGCACGGGAAAGAGGAUAAUAGCGCUGUUUGAUAGGUGCUGAAUUUGUCCUGAUUUCUAGCUUGACCAAAUUAGUACAACCCAAUGUUGAACUCAUGUUGGAAAAGACAUCCUCGAUAAGUCGAUCGAGAGUUUCUUUUUGUGUUGGAGUCAGAGUAUCAACGGAUUGAAUUGCGGCAGUUUCGUGACAGUAGUAUGGAGCAACAUCUUUGAAAUGCCAUUCCCCAGUGUUAAGGUCAGGUAUGAUCCCCAUACGAGUCCAAAAAUCAAUACCUAAGAUCAAGGAAUGGGGUAGGGAGGGAACAACCAAAACAUCCAUAAGGACUACGCGAGUGCGAAGCCUCAUAGGUAAGGUCACAAUUCCUUUUAUUGAACAUUGUUGUCCAUUGGCUACAGUGCACUCAGUGGCCCCAGAUUGUUUAAGGGUGCAAUAAGUAGACAAAACAGACCAUCCGGCAGAACCAAUAAUAGUUCGAGAUGCUCCACUAUCAAGUAAACCUAAUAGUGAUUUUCCAAAAAUGUCUAUGUGCAGAUAAGGACGCUCAUCACCUUUGGCAUGUGCCAAGACGAAAUCAAGGACGGCAGAAGUACGAACAUGUUUGGAUAGACUAAUGGCCGAUUGCGAUUCAAAAGAUAGGCAAGAGGGACGGCCUAUGCUCUUGCCGAUGCCUCGUUUUUUUGAGCAUGUUGGACAAGUCUUUGCACUAACGUCUCUCUUUCCGCAUCGGAAACAAAAGAACGUUUUGGGCUUAGAACAUUUACGAAAACGAUGUCCGCUGUCACCGCAAUUCCAGCAGGUUACAACAGAAGAAACUGCAUCUAUAGAAGUUGAAUAAGCCGAAUGAUUAUUAGGAAUAAUGGGCUUAACAUCACUAGGCUCUGAAUAAGACUCAAUUGACGCUACGUGAUGACUGGGUUUUCUGUAGGCAAGUUCAGGUUCUAAUAGCUGUCUAAUGUUUGUGGGGGGUGGGACAAAUCUCUGCACUCUGGCUUCGGUCUCUUCAAUUGCUCGACUUAACCUAGUCAACUCGUGAAGAUCAUGGAUUUCAUGGGUAGCAAGCCUACUUUGAAUAUAAGGAAGUAAAUUUCGACGAAUAAGAUUAAGUUUGACUGAUUCGGAGGGACUUUCUGAAAGUUUUCGAAAUAGACUCUCCAUUGCGACAAUAAACGUAAGGACGCGUUCUUGUGAUCCUUGGGUGCGCCUACGUAUUUCAUCCCACAAACCAUAUUCAUAGUCAUAAGGCCGAAAGGAAUCUUUCAAUUUAGUUACUAAAUCAUCCCAACUGGCAAAUUUAUUGGUACGAUACCAAAGAAGGGCAUCGCCAGUAAACAACUCUGGUGCAGACCGGAGUAACUGCUCCUUAAGUACACCUCGAGAUAAACGUAUUUCCUCAACUCUCUCUAGAAAGUCGUUAACACUAGUCUGUCCAUUAAACUUAAUAUUCCAUCGAAACACAUCAUGUGUAUGGUAUGAGGGAUGCGAUAGUUGUCUCGGCUCACGCCCGUAAGUUCGAUUCGAUGUGUCCGUCGGAGAAAAAUUGACUUCUUCCAAAUGACGAACUAAGUCGUUGAUUGGUAUGGACUGGGACAAGUUGUCUCCAUGAGCAGUGGAGUUUGCUGGAGGAGAUGCAUGAACCACGGGGGGUCCAAAACGAACCUGUGAUUGACGACUCAUUGAUUGAGACUCAUUUGCUGAACUCACUGGAUAACAGUUAAUUUGACUUACAGGAGGUUGUAAUAUAGGAUUCGAAGAUAUUGAGGACUUUGCAUUAAGUUCAUUUCCGGAAGACUGAAAGACUCUGGAUCCGUCGCGCUGCAUGAAACGACCAUAGGAAGGUCUUGACUCAGAUGUACUUGACGUUCUCUGCUGAGGAUUAAAAUAAGGACAACUGCUUUGAGCAAGCUCCAAUAAAUCCUGGAGUGGAGGUCUAGACUGUUGUGUCAAAGACGGAUUGGAAGUAGUCCCAUAGGGUACUGCAUCGCUAUGAGAUUCAAUCUGAGGCAACUCCCUAUUAAUAGCUGAAUGUGCAAAGGACGUAGAAGUACCAGACUGGAAAUUAUUCAAAUUGUUCGACUGCUCUGCAACCUCGCAUUGUGAAGUCGAUGCGGCAGCAACAUUGGAAUUAACACGUUCCGCUUCAAGUUCUUCAACAGGUGUAGAUUCCUCAUCACUCAAAACAAUUAAGUCAUUUGAAACUACUAAGUUGUCUCCUGUAUUUAAGGAUUCAUGGGAUUCGUGAGAUGGAGUGGCCCCUGUUAGGGUAAUGGCUGGUGGUUUGUUGGCAUAAGAGCAAGAAGGCAUGAUACCUUGAGAAGCAAGAUUAAGAUCACCAAAAAGUUUAGUGCAUGAACUUACAAUCUCAUUUUUUAAAACCGACUCUACUUCUGACACAGCAUGGACUCGAUUGAUACGCUGGUACAAAUGCAACAAGAGGGUAUUAAUCCGUUUGGAUUCUCCAUCACAAUAAUCCUUUCCGAGAGUCUUAAUAUCCCGUUCAAUAGAUAUUAAUUUACUGCGACAAAGGCAAAGCUCACUAUCUGUGUCGAAGGCAGUGGAACUAGGAGGAUCAAUGUGUUUCUCCCGUUCCAACCGCAAGGACUCACGAAGACUGGUCCGUUUUUGAGCGAAAGAACCGGUUAAUGGGAGACCUCGAAUGUGUAACUCAUAUUUUAGUUCCUCACCACCUAGAUAAUUAACAUCCAUUUCAAAUGUCAAAAUAGAGGGACAAAAAAAUAUAUAUAUUUAUAGAUAUAUUAUAUAUAGUUUAAUAACGUUAAUUAAAUAAAUAAGCUAAAAAAAAAAUUAAAAGGAAAAUAUGAUAAGUAUCCAAAGGACACCCCCACCCUUUCCUAAGAAAAAAAAAUUAAAAAAAAAAGGAAUCAAAGUCCAACAGCAAAUACACUACGUAUAAGAGCAGUUAAGACUAUAGUUAUAUUUAUCAUUCAGACCUACUAAUAAGAAGUAAGAAUAGUCAGGUACUUCAAAAAAAAUAAAUAAAUAAAUUUAAAAAAAAAACAAAAGAAAUCUUAAAAAUCAAUCAAAGGUAAUACCAGUAAAUAAGCUUAUUAUACACACCUACUAGAGUACUGCGCAUGAACAGAUUUAAAAAAAAAUCAAAGAAAAAAAAUAUUAAAAAAAAAAAAAAACAAAAUAUUCAAAAACUUGACAAUACCUCUAUUCAAGAAUUUAAAAAAAAAAUGCUUUUCCCCUUCUUCCCUUUUCUUUCUUUUUCCUUUCCCUUUCUUUUUUCACCUUCACACCACCCUGUAAUCCUAUAACACUUGAAUCAUUUAUCCUUCCCUACAACACCUGAAGAUAUUUCCUUGGUUUUUGGUAAUUGGUCACCAACCUAAAUAAAAUGUAUUGAUAAUUCUCUUUUUUUUUUUUUAAAUGAGAAGAAACACUGAACUGAUGAAAACGUCAAAAAAAAAUAAGAAUGGUAAAGUCAACCUUCUAAAACAACUAAUCAAAAUUAACUGCUAAUGUUUAAUAUAAUCAAAAGUUAUUAGAAAAAAAAAAAAAUUGGUAAAGCAUGAACUGACACGUUAGGCGCCAAAUUUAUUGCACUGUUUCUCGCACAAUGCCUAAAUGUGGGUUCCAGGGUUAUGAUUAUUAGCCUUUAUUAGGGCACGCAAAGAAAACGCAGCUUUAUAUCGUUAAACCCAGCUUUAGUAUUGAAAGAUAAAUCAAUGUCAUAAUUGACAACUAAUUUAAUCUAUAACCUCAAUUCAAAAAAAAAAUAAAUACAAAGACAGUAAUGCUCUAAUACUUAAGUUAUAAUUAUGAAAUUUAAAAUCAUGAGAAAGAAAAUAAAGUAAAAUUUAGCACUUAAUACUUAUUCAAUUGUACAUCUGAUAAUACCUCGCAUAUACGUAUAUACUCAGUUCCCAAUUUCAAAUCAAAUCAGUGAUGGUGGUUAUAUAAACAAUUUUACUAAAUUGAAUUUAAAAUCUGUGAUCAUUUCUACAUAUUAAUUAAAAAAAAAAAAUAAUCUAUAAAUUGCGACGAACCGAUAAAUCAAUACCUGGAGAAACCAAGCCAAAAAGAAAAAGGGACUACCUGAAAUUCUGAGUAUCUCCGACUGGUAGCAGGGCCCACCUGAUCUGAAUGGGGCUCCUUUGUUGGCAACUAUACGUUUGGGUCAAAAGAGGCAGCAGCAGAUCGACCAGUUAGGAUGCUUCCAGAAUGUCUAGCAGGUAGUGGAGGGCAAUCGGUAUUAGGUGUAGCCGAUUGGAAGGAAUGCAGGUUCCGGAGGUGAUGAUCCAAGCGACUUGAUGUGGUAACACGUGGAGUAGCAAGUGAGGUGGAAGCAGUAACAAUAAAAAUGCAGCAAAAGCAGAAGCAGAGGAUAAGCAGAAAGGUACAGGAAGGCCUAAAAAUGGGGACCACACAUGAGGUUCGACAUGGCUGUCAAUUUUAUGGCAUUUUUGUGUGGGUAAGUAAGUUAAAUUUUAUAAAAUUGCUCUCUGAAAAGUUGGAUGCAUUGAUGUUCUUUUGAGUUAAACCGAAAAGCAUGCAAAUAAGAAAUUAAUUAGAUGAAAAAAAUAGGAAAAUGACUUAGGCAUGUAACAUGUGCUAACUUACCGAAGAUGGAAUGUGGCCUUUUCUGGGGUUUAUUUAACACAACAAAAACAAGGAGCCCUAUAAACUCUUAGGCCUACUUAGAAAAUCAGCAAUUAAGCUAUCCUAGCACAUACUAGUAACUACAAAAAAAAUUAGGCUAAGAUAGGGUCUACCUUUUCACAUCCGCAUUAAGCGAAACUAUCUGUCAUACUCUAGAACCAGAUAAAGAAUGAAUCUAUUAAAAAUAGGAUUGUCAGUUCCCUCCAAAUUUUAAGGAAUGCAUUUAUCUGUCAAGUACCUAGGUGUUGACAUGCUGGGUUUAACUACUGGGUACUAUCUGGUACCAACACUACCAACAUUGGUUUAAGUAAUUUGCAACUAUGGAGCAAUCUAUAACUUGAGGCCAUGGUUUAGCAACAAUAAUUUACAAAAAAAAACUGACAGACCAGAUUGACAUUAACAUUCUUAUCACUAUUGAUCCUUAUGAUUUGAACAAAAUAAACAAUUAGUUAAUAAGUGCUCAGUAUUCAUUAAAAUCUAAAAUAGGCCAAAUUGACCUGCAAGGUAAAAUCAAUGCAAAAUCAAUGGCAGUUCUUAAUUCUAUUCAAUCAACAAAACAAUGAAACAAUAUCCCAUAUUAUUAUUUACUUUCCUCAUCCAAUAAUGGUUUUCCUUGCGUUUCAGAUCGGGUAUGUUAGGAGGGACCAUCUUAACGGUAUCAUAUCUGUGUAGUAUGUAUAUUUAUGUAUGAUUUUUAAAUAAAUUAUUUUAUGAAACUA
This is an RNA transcript of Anthonomus grandis grandis, 11656 nucleotides long. RefSeq lists it as uncharacterized. The record is from RefSeq and is a predicted model, not a curated record. The transcript is spliced from 11 exons. Lineage: Eukaryota; Metazoa; Arthropoda; Insecta; Coleoptera; Curculionidae.